This 849-nucleotide ribosomal RNA is filed under the name Theileria sp. RNAcentral's name for it is "SSU rRNA". It matches the Rfam family "Eukaryotic small subunit ribosomal RNA", at positions 156 to 1052 of the family's 1831-position model. The record is from RNAcentral. Lineage: Eukaryota; Apicomplexa; Aconoidasida; Piroplasmida; Theileriidae.
UUGUACGGCUAUAUACAUGUUCGAGACCUUCGGGUGGCGUUUAUUAGACCUAAAACCAAACCUUUUCGGUACCCGGUGAUUCAUAAUAAACUUGCGAAUCGCAUUUUUUUGCGAUGUAUCAUUCCAAGUUUUCUGACCCUAUCAGCUUUGGACGGUAGGGGUAUUGGCCCUACCGGGGGCAGCGACGGGGUAACGGGGAAUUUAGGGUUCGAUUCCGGAGAGGGAGCCUGCGAAACGGCUACCACAUCUAAGGAAGGCAGCAGGCGCGCAAAUUACCCAAUCCUGACACAGGGAGGUAGUGACAAGAAAUACCAAUACGGGGCUUACUGUCUUGUAAUUGGAAUGAUGGGAAUUUACACCUCUUCCAGAGUAUCAAUUGGAGGGCAAGUCUGGUGCCAGCAGCCGCGGUACUUCCAGCUCCAAUACCGUAUAUUAAAAUUGUUGCAGUUAAAAAGCUCGUACUUGAAUUUCUGCUGCAUUUCAUUUCUCUUUCUGAGUUUGUUUUUGCGGCUUAUUUCGGUUUGCUUUUUUCUUUCCGGAUGCUUACUUUGCGAAAAUUACAGUGCUCAAAGCAGGCUUUUGCCUUGCAUAGUUUACCAUGGAAUAAUAAAGUACGACUUUGGUUCUAUUUUUGUUGGUUUUAGGUACCAAAGUAAUGGUUACUACGAACAGUUGGGGGCAUUCGUAUUUUACCUGUCAGAGGUGAAAUUCUUAGAUUUUGUUAAAGACGAACUACUGCGAAAGCAUUUGCCAAGGAUGUUUUCCAUUAAAUCAAGAACGAAAGUUAGGGGAUCAGAAGACGAUCAGAUAACCGUCGUAGUCCUAACCAUAAACUAUGCUGGCUCAGAG